UACAUGUUGUAGAUCACUGAUUUCAUACAUUUGUUUUUCAAUUCCUUCCGUGGGUUUGUUCUCCAUCGAAUCCUUGAUCGUUUGAGAGUAUUUUCGUUCAAUUCCAUCCACGAAAUUGAUUGAGUACGAGUAUGGAUCAAUUGCUAGACCGGUUGGAUAUAGUUUCGACAAAAAAUUGUGAUAGACAUGUAUGUCAAGAUGUUACGAAAGAUUCUCGAAGUGUAAGCUUUAGAGUUUGAUUUCGCCAAUGGGGAUAGAGCCUUAGUUGAAGCCAUAGCUGAGAGAUGGUGGAAAAGUACCAGGAGCUUUCAUUUUCGAGAGUUUGAGAUUGGCCUCCUUCCUUUAGAUUGGUACAUGGUCUUAAAGGUAAGUUUGGCAUUAUAUUGAAACCUUGUCGUUAUUAUAAAAAAUCGGACAUGAAGGCAAUUAUGAGGGGGUUCUUGAUAAUGCACAACAUGUGUGUUGAAAUGGAAUAUCGGAAUGAGGAUUGGGGGAGGAUCACGGGAGAUGAACCUCAACCGCCAAUUCAAGGAAAUGUAAGGCUAGCUCCUCAUGUAUUGUACAACCCUGCGGUUUGGGGACAACUUCACUUGGAACUCACUACACACAUAUGGAACCGACAAGGAGAAGGUUUGAGAGAUGGUGAUAUUCCGAACAUGGUUAUGUAUGAUGCCUUGUCGGAAGUUGAUGAGGGUACAACCGACGUGGACACCGAUGAAGACCAAUAUGACCCUCAAGAAGAUGGUGCAUUUUAUGAGAAUGGAGAGUAAAUUUGAUAUCUUAAGUAGAAAUUUUAUGAGAAUGGUGCAUUUUAUGAGA
Papaver somniferum (opium poppy) is the source of this 819-nucleotide long non-coding RNA. RefSeq lists it as uncharacterized. The record is from RefSeq and is a predicted model, not a curated record. NCBI's taxonomy places the organism in Eukaryota, Viridiplantae, Streptophyta, Magnoliopsida, Ranunculales, Papaveraceae. The transcript is spliced from 3 exons.